Long non-coding RNA from Capsicum annuum, 1896 nucleotides. RefSeq lists it as uncharacterized. The record is from RefSeq and is a predicted model, not a curated record. The transcript has 3 exons. NCBI's taxonomy places the organism in Eukaryota, Viridiplantae, Streptophyta, Magnoliopsida, Solanales, Solanaceae.
AUUCUUAAAAAAGAAAAGAAAAUACCUGUGAAAAUUUUGAAAGAAAAGACCUGCGAAAUUGGGAUUUUCAUUUAUUUUAGCUUCUUCAACUUCUGAUAAGUUAUUUCUUUUUCAUUUUUAUUAGUGAAUUCUUUUGACCUUCUUUUUUUCCUAACAAAAGAUAAAAAUAAUUGUGGAAAAAUUAGAAGAGAAUUGUUGCAUUUGAUUUCUAUUAAUGAAUAGAUUUUGAUUGAUUUUUGUCUCCUUUACUUCUGCUAAGGAAAAAAUUAUUACUUUUAUAUAUAAGUGAAAAUCAAUGGUCCUUGCGGAACUACUCUUACAAUGAAGGAUUUUUCCCUAAGUUUGCUCGCUACGUAAUACACAUAUACAAAGUAUAUAAGAUCACUAUUGUUUCCACCUGUUUACUGACUUAGCCUUUGUUAGUUACCAAAGAAAAAAAAUCUACUUUUUCUUGUUCUUAAAAAAGAAAAAAUUGGGGAUUUUGAUUGAUUUUUACUUUCUUUAACUUGUGAUUAGUAAAUUUAUAGCUUAGCAUGUGUGGACUGUUUGUUAGACCUGUGAUACAUAGUUCUGUUGCCAGAUCUAUGUUUAAGAGUAUGAUUUAUUGUUUUUGCUUUUGCUCUGAAUACUGGAUUGAAUUUCAUAUUAUGUUGGUGGCUGUUGCAGUUGCAAAGUAUUGGGGUGAACUCACAGUUCAUCACAUUCACAAAUGUUACCAUGGAAUCGGAUAAAUAUAUAUGUGUAAGAGAGACGGCCCCUCAGAAUAAUCUGGUGAUUAUUGAUAUGAACAUUGCCAAUGCAACCUUUGAGGCAUCCAAUUACGACCGACUUUGCGCUUAUGAAUCCUAAUUCUAGAAUUUUGGCUCUAAAAGUUGAUGAGAUUGUUUGUUGGAGAGCCGAUGUGGACACCUUACAAUCGACCACAAGAAGAUCAUCCUGUAGGGAAGGAGUACAUCAAGAGUGUUACUGAAAGAGUAGGCAGAGUGCCUCUUGCAGCACGCUGAGACGCGUAUUUCUUGUUAAAUAGAGCUCCACAAGCCUGUAUAAGGCAAAAUUUUUAGAACGUAGGAAUAGAGGGUUAACUAGGCUGUGGAAUCAGGUAUAAUAGUUCCUUUAUUAUUCUCUCUCUCAAAGUGUUUCUUAAUUUUGGUUGGGUUUCUCUUUAAUUUUCCUUCUUAAUUUCACUUUGUUGCUGGUGAUUAGAAUUUGAUAAUCUUAACUUUCUCAAAGUUUGCCCAUUUCAUUCCAGACUCCACUUUGUGGGAAUACACUAGGUAUGUUGUUGUUGUUGUUGACUAUUUGUGUCUCUUUGUUUUGGCAAGUUAUUUGGUGCAAGCUUUGUUUGUUAAACUCUUUGUUGGCGAUCAAAACCACAACAAUGACAGACAAAGAGGAUUAUUUACCGGAAGUGGGUUACAGUGCCAAAGGUGUUAAUCUUUCCUAGAUUUUGACAAGAAAAAUAAUUUUGAACCAAGCUAUGAACCUAUGGGAUUUGAUGAUAUAACCUGCUUAUUCCACAAGACACUUUUAUUUGAGUAGUAUUCUGAGGUUAACGAAGUACUAAAAUGUUUCACUACUUAUAUUACACUCUCUUUCAUUCUUGUUAAAUAUAUUUGCAGGUUGGCCAAAUUUCCUUUUGCAGUUACUUUUGAGUUUUGUGGAACAAAGGAGUUUGUGAAUUUUGUGAAAUAUUGUUCUUCCUUGUUUGCACCACUGUUGUAAUACCCAUGCUUAUUCCUAGCAAGAAAUCAUCUCAAGUAUGUUAGUACAUGCUUUGAAAUAUAAAUCUAUUUUUGUACCCAUGGUAUUUUUGAGAUUUCUACUUUCUAUCACGUGGGAAAUUGAGUUAGCUUUCUAACGAUACCAAUUUUGUCUAAAUCCGACACCAGACGAGGA